UUCUGGGCAGCCACCGGUCUAAGUUCCUUGGAACAGGACGUCAUAGAGGGUGAGAAUCCCGUAUGCGACCGGACAGGCACCCUCCACGUAGCUCCUUCGACGAGUCGAGUUGUUUGGGAAUGCAGCUCUAAAUGGGAGGUAAAUUUCUUCUAAAGCUAAAUACCGGCCAGAGACCGAUAGCGCACAAGUAGAGUGAUCGAAAGAUGAAAAGUACUUUGGAAAGAGAGUUAAAAAGCACGUGAAAUUGUUGAAAGGGAAGGGUUUGCAACCAGACUUGCUCGCGGUGUUCCGCCGGUCUUCUGACCGGUCUACUCGCCGCGCUGCAGGCCAGCAUCGUCUGGGGCCGCCGGAUAAGACUUUAGGAAUGUAGCUCCCUCGGGAGUGUUAUAGCCUAUUGUGAUGCGGCGCGUCCCGGGCGAGGUCCGCGCUUCGGCUAGGAUGCUGGCGUAAUGGUUGUAAACCGCCCGUCUUGAAACACGGACCAAGGAGUCUAGCAUCUAUGCGAGUGUUCGGGUGUCAAACCCCUACGCGUAAUGAAAGUGAACGGAGGUGGGAACUUUUUGUGCACCAUCGACCGAUCCUGAUGUCUUCGGAUGGAUUUGAGUAAGAGCAUAGC
This 616-nucleotide small RNA is filed under the name Neocladosporium leucadendri. RNAcentral describes it as "eukaryotic LSU rRNA". It matches the Rfam family "Eukaryotic large subunit ribosomal RNA", at positions 163 to 806 of the family's 3401-position model. The record is from RNAcentral. Lineage: Eukaryota; Fungi; Ascomycota; Dothideomycetes; Cladosporiales; Cladosporiaceae.